AUUGCUUCUUGGCCUUCUGGCUAAAAUCAAAUGUAGCCUCUGUUCUUAUCAGUUUAAUAUCUGAUACAAAGCCGUCUUCCAGGGAUUUCUGCACUGUUAUCCUGGGAAGUCUUAUCAUUU
Oryctolagus cuniculus (rabbit) is the source of this 120-nucleotide small nuclear RNA. Its record names the gene U2. It matches the Rfam family "U2 spliceosomal RNA". From Rfam's summary of the family: U2 is a small nuclear RNA (snRNA) component of the spliceosome (involved in pre-mRNA splicing). Complementary binding between U2 snRNA (in an area lying towards the 5' end but 3' to hairpin I) and the branchpoint sequence (BPS) of the intron results the bulging out of an unpaired adenosine, on the BPS, which initiates a nucleophilic attack at the intronic 5' splice site, thus starting the first of two transesterification reactions that mediate splicing. NCBI's taxonomy places the organism in Eukaryota, Metazoa, Chordata, Mammalia, Lagomorpha, Leporidae. The record is from Ensembl.